This 397-nucleotide ribosomal RNA is filed under the name uncultured bacterium. RNAcentral describes it as "bacterial SSU rRNA". It matches the Rfam family "Bacterial small subunit ribosomal RNA", at positions 29 to 470 of the family's 1533-position model. The record is from RNAcentral.
AACGAACGCUGGCGGCAUGCCUAACACAUGCAAGUCGAACGAAGUCUUCGGACUUAGUGGCGCACGGGUGCGUAACGCGUGGGAAUCUGCCCUUGGGUGCGGAAUAACUUCUCGAAAGGGAUGCUAAUACCGCAUAAUGUCGUAAGACCAAAGAUUUAUCGCCCAAGGAUGAGCCCGCGUAAGAUUAGCUAGUUGGUGGGUAAAAGCCUACCAAGGCGACGAUCUUUAGCUGGUCUGAGAGGAUGAUCAGCCACACUGGGACUGAGACACGGCCCAGACUCCUACGGGAGGCAGCAGUGGGGAAUAUUGGACAAUGGGCGAAACCUGAUCCAGCAAUAGCCGCCGUGAGUGAAGAAGGACCGUUCCGGGUUGGUUAAAGGUACGACUUAAGUACGGG